CUUUGCGUAAGCAGUAAGACACCUCAGAGACGAUGAGGUAGAUAGGCUGGGAGUGGAAGUCCUGUGAAGGAUGGAGCGGACCAGUACUAAUCAGUCGAGGACUUGACCAAA
Molecule: ribosomal RNA, 111 nt
Filed under: Lactobacillus crispatus
Lineage: Bacteria; Bacillati; Bacillota; Bacilli; Lactobacillales; Lactobacillaceae
Description: partial 23S ribosomal RNA
Rfam family: Bacterial large subunit ribosomal RNA
Source: RNAcentral